GAUGAAGAACGUAGUGAAAUGCGAUAAGUAAUGUGAAUUGCAGAAUUCAGUGAAUCAUCGAAUCUUUGAACGCACAUUGCGCCCCUUGGUAUUCCAUGGGGCAUGCCUGUUCGAGCGUCAUUUGUACCCUCAAGCUUUGCUUGGUGUUGGGCGUCUUGUCGUAUUACGACUCGCCUUAAAUACAUUGGCAGCCGGCACUUUGGCCUAGGAGCGCAGCACAUUUUGCGAUCGUAGCCCGUUGUACUGGCGUCCAUCAAGAACAUUUACCACGUUUGACCUCGGAUCAGGUAGGGAUACCCGCUGAACUUAAGCAUAUCAAUAAGCGGAGGA
Molecule: unclassified non-coding RNA, 330 nt
Filed under: soil metagenome
Description: partial contains 5.8S ribosomal RNA, internal transcribed spacer 2, and large subunit ribosomal RNA
Rfam family: 5.8S ribosomal RNA (bases 1-120)
Source: RNAcentral